ACAAUUUUUUAACCAGGUUUUCCGAAGGAAAAAACUGGUUAUUAGAUUGGCGAAUGCGGGCGGGCUGGCUGGCUGGCUGGCGGGCUGGCGGAAUAAGCUUGUCCGGGCCAUAACUAUGUCGUUCAUUGUCAGAUUUUAAAAUCAUUUGGCACAUUUGUUCACCAUCAUUGGACGGUGUGUCGCGCGAAAUAAUUACAUCGAUAUCUCCAAGGUCAAGGUCACACUUUGAGUUCAAAGGUCAAAAAUGGCCAUAAAUGAGCUUGUCCUGGCCAUAACUAUGUCAUUCAUUGUGAGAUUUUAAAAUCAUUUGGCACAUUUGUUCACCAUCAUGGGACGGUGUGUCCCACGAAAGAAUCACGUCAAUAUCUCCAAUGUCAAGGUCGCCACGACUAAAAAUAGAUUUAAAAAAAAAAAAAAACUUACAAAGGGGGUUAAUUUUUUUUGGUCAUUUCAAAA
Long non-coding RNA from Dreissena polymorpha, 456 nucleotides. RefSeq lists it as uncharacterized. The transcript has 2 exons. The record is from RefSeq and is a predicted model, not a curated record. Lineage: Eukaryota; Metazoa; Mollusca; Bivalvia; Myida; Dreissenidae.